AGUGAACGCUGGCGGUAGGCCUAACACAUGCAAGUCGAACGGCAGCACAGUAAGAGCUUGCUCUUACGGGUGGCGAGUGGCGGACGGGUGAGGAAUACAUCGGAAUCUACUUUUUCGUGGGGGAUAACGUAGGGAAACUUACGCUAAUACCGCAUACGACCUACGGGUGAAAGCAGGGGAUCUUCGGACCUUGCGCGAUUGAAUGAGCCGAUGUCGGAUUAGCUAGUUGGCGGGGUAAGGCCCACCAAGGCGACGAUCCGUAGCUGGUCUGAGAGGAUGAUCAGCCACACUGGAACUGAGACACGGUCCAGACUCCUACGGGAGGCAGCAGUGGGGAAUAUUGGACAAUGGGCGCAAGCCUGAUCCAGCCAUACCGCGUGGGUGAAGAAGGCCUUCGGGUUGUAAAGCCCUUUUGUUGGGAAAGAAAAGCAGCAGGUUAAUACCCCGCUGUCCUGACGGUACCCAAAGAAUAAGCACCGGCUAACUUCGUG
RNAcentral lists this ribosomal RNA (491 nucleotides) under uncultured bacterium. RNAcentral's name for it is "partial 16S ribosomal RNA". It matches the Rfam family "Bacterial small subunit ribosomal RNA", at positions 29 to 507 of the family's 1533-position model. The record is from RNAcentral.